AAAGAAUGAUCUUGGCACUCGAAUUUGAGGAAUUACCAUUUGCAGCCAGCUGUGGUGAUAUGUUAGAUUAGUUUUUGUUUAAUGUCUAUGCUUUCCUUUUGCAUUUUGCCUGAGGUAGACGGUGGGAAAAAAAAAACCCAGGGGAUUCUGGAUUGACCUUGUGAGCGAUUUGAUGAAUUCGAAUUUUCUGAGCAUCAAUAGAAUGCAUUAUUUACAUGCCUUAGGAUGGAUGAGAUUUGUUUUUAAGAAAAUUCUAAAUGCUUUGUUAGGAUGUUCA
Molecule: unclassified non-coding RNA, 277 nt
Filed under: Hevea brasiliensis (rubber tree)
Lineage: Eukaryota; Viridiplantae; Streptophyta; Magnoliopsida; Malpighiales; Euphorbiaceae
Source: RNAcentral